AACAUCGCGCACCUGCGGGAACCUGCGGAGGGAUCAUUAAUGAUUGGUGGCUGCUGCUGACUAGUGUUUCUAGUAUGUGCACGCCACACCUUCAAUCCCACUUACACCUGUGCACCUUCUGUAAUAGAUCUAUGUGGAUACGGAGAUAUGAAAGUUUGCGCUCUCGUACUCUGUUGAAGCAGUCUACUACGUUUUUUUACACACACACAAUAGUCAUUGAAUGUAUUUUUUAUUCUUAUG
This 240-nucleotide unclassified non-coding RNA is filed under the name soil metagenome. RNAcentral describes it as "partial contains 5.8S ribosomal RNA, internal transcribed spacer 2, and large subunit ribosomal RNA". The record is from RNAcentral.